CUACGUGCCAGCAGCCGCGGUAAUACGUAGGGUGCGAGCGUUAAUCGGAAUUACUGGGCGUAAAGCGAGCGCAGACGGUUACUUAAGCAGGAUGUGAAAUCCCCGGGCUCAACCUGGGAACUGCGUUCUGAACUGGGUAGCUAGAGUAUGUCAGAGGGGGGUAGAAUUCCACGUGUAGCAGUGAAAUGCGUAGAGAUGUGGAGGAAUACCGAUGGCGAAGGCAGCCCCCUGGGAUAAUACUGACGUUCAUGCUCGAAAGCGUGGGUAGCAAACAGGAUUAGAUACCCUGGUAGUCCACGCCCUAAACGAUGUCGAUUAGCUGUUGGGCAGCAUGACUGCUUAGUAGCGAAGCUAACGCGUGAAAUCGACCGCCUGGGGAGUACGGUCGCAAGAUUAAAACUCAAAGGAAUUGACGGGGACCCGCACAAGCGGUGGAUGAUGUGGAUUAAUUCGAUGCAACGCGAAGAACCUUACCUGGUCUUGACAU
RNAcentral lists this ribosomal RNA (487 nucleotides) under uncultured bacterium. RNAcentral describes it as "bacterial SSU rRNA". It matches the Rfam family "Bacterial small subunit ribosomal RNA", at positions 501 to 987 of the family's 1533-position model. The record is from RNAcentral.